UACGUAGGGGGCUAGCGUUGUCCGGAUUUAUUGGGCGUAAAGAGCGUGUAGGCGGCCAGGUAGGUCUGCUGUGAAAACUCGAGGCUCAACCUCGAGACGUCGGCGGAAACCAUCUGGCUAGAGUCCGGAAGAGGAGAGUGGAAUUCCUGGUGUAGCGGUGAAAUGCGUAGAUAUCUGGAGGAACACCGGUGGCGAAGGCGGCGUCCUGGACCAACACUGACACUGAGGAGCGAAAGCCAGGGGAGCAAACGGG
RNAcentral lists this ribosomal RNA (253 nucleotides) under uncultured bacterium. RNAcentral describes it as "partial 16S ribosomal RNA". It matches the Rfam family "Bacterial small subunit ribosomal RNA", at positions 524 to 776 of the family's 1533-position model. The record is from RNAcentral.